AUUGAACGCUGGCGGCAGGCCUAACACAUGCAAGUCGAGCGGAUGAAGAGAGCUUGCUCUCUGAUUCAGCGGCGGACGGGUGAGUAAUGCCUAGGAAUCUGCCUGAUAGUGGGGGACAACGUUUCGAAAGGAACGCUAAUACCGCAUACGUCCUACGGGAGAAAGCAGGGGACCUUCGGGCCUUGCGCUAUCAGAUGAGCCUAGGUCGGAUUAGCUAGUUGGUGAGGUAAUGGCUCACCAAGGCGACGAUCCGUAACUGGUCUGAGAUGAUGAUCAGUCACACUGGAACUGAGACACGGUCCAGACUCCUACGGGAGGCAGCAGUGGGGAAUAUUGGACAAUGGGCGAAAGCCUGAUCCAGCCAUGCCGCGUGUGUGAAGAAGGUCUUCGGAUUGUAAAGCACUUUAAGUUGGGAGGAAGGGCAUUAACCUAAUACGUUAGUGUUUUGACGUUACCGACAGAAUAAGCACCGGCUAACUUCGUG
Molecule: ribosomal RNA, 484 nt
Filed under: uncultured bacterium
Lineage: Bacteria
Description: bacterial SSU rRNA
Rfam family: Bacterial small subunit ribosomal RNA
Source: RNAcentral